RNAcentral lists this ribosomal RNA (253 nucleotides) under uncultured bacterium. RNAcentral describes it as "partial 16S ribosomal RNA". It matches the Rfam family "Bacterial small subunit ribosomal RNA", at positions 524 to 776 of the family's 1533-position model. The record is from RNAcentral.
UACAGAGGGUGCAAGCGUUAAUCGGAAUUACUGGGCGUAAAGCGCGCGUAGGCGGCUACUUAAGUCGGAUGUGAAAGCCCCUGGCUUAACUGGGGAAGUGCACCCGAAACUGAGUAGCUAGAGUACGAAAGAGGGUCGCGGAAUUCCCGGUGUAGAGGUGAAAUUCGUAGAUAUCGGGAGGAACACCGGUGGCGAAGGCGGCGACCUGGGUCGAUACUGACGCUGAGGCGCGAAAGCGUGGGGAGCAAACAGG